Molecule: transfer RNA, 65 nt
Filed under: Parcoblatta pensylvanica (Pennsylvania wood cockroach)
Lineage: Eukaryota; Metazoa; Arthropoda; Insecta; Blattodea; Blattellidae
Description: tRNA-Glu
Source: RNAcentral
AUUUAUAUAGUUUAUAAUAAAACAUUACAUUUUCACUGUAAAAAUAAAAAUUAUUUUUAUAAAUA